RNAcentral lists this long non-coding RNA (475 nucleotides) under Lactuca sativa (garden lettuce). RNAcentral's name for it is "long non-coding RNA (LSAT_LNC006953)". Lineage: Eukaryota; Viridiplantae; Streptophyta; Magnoliopsida; Asterales; Asteraceae. The record is from RNAcentral.
GUCUAUCUCCCCCAAUUCUGACAAAAAUUUUGCUGUGAAUUUUCGGCAAAGAUGAAGAUGUUGAUCGAAGAAGAGUUGGAGUUCGAAGGUGAGAACAAGGUUGAAGAAAUCGUUGUGGAUGAUACCGAAGAAAUUGAUAGUGAAGUUGAAGUUGAAGAAGACGACGGCGAGGACGACGACGAAGAUGAUGAUGACGCCGACGAAGAGGAGGAGGAAGAAGACGACGACGAUGAUGUGCAGGAGGUUUUCCAAAGCUCUGGCAGUGGUCCACCGGCUCAGCCGGUAGAAGCCGACGAUGACGACGAGGACGAGGACGAAGAGGAUGAAGACGAUGAUGGAGACGACGACGGAGAAGAUAGCGACGACGACGAUGACGAUGAGGAAGGUGAACAAGAGGAGGUAAUAUUUAUCUUCACUUUGACUAUUUUGUUUGAAUUAGUUAGCUUAUUACUUUGAGUAAAUCAUAUCUUAGUUG